GGCCCCAUAGCUCAAUUGGUAGUAGCGUUCGACUCCAGAUCGAAAGGUUAUCCGUUCAAGUCGGGUUGGGGUCA
Transfer RNA from Chaetomium globosum CBS 148.51, 74 nucleotides. It matches the Rfam family "tRNA". From Rfam's summary of the family: Transfer RNA (tRNA) molecules are approximately 80 nucleotides in length. Their secondary structure includes four short double-helical elements and three loops (D, anti-codon, and T loops). Further hydrogen bonds mediate the characteristic L-shaped molecular structure. tRNAs have two regions of fundamental functional importance: the anti-codon, which is responsible for specific mRNA codon recognition, and the 3' end, to which the tRNAs corresponding amino acid is attached (by aminoacyl-tRNA synthetases). tRNAs cope with the degeneracy of the genetic code in two manners: having more than one tRNA (with a specific anti-codon) for a particular amino acid; and 'wobble' base-pairing, i.e. permitting non-standard base-pairing at the 3rd anti-codon position. NCBI's taxonomy places the organism in Eukaryota, Fungi, Ascomycota, Sordariomycetes, Sordariales, Chaetomiaceae. The record is from Rfam.